Mycena filopes is the source of this 85-nucleotide non-coding RNA. The record is from the annotation of a GenBank genome assembly. Lineage: Eukaryota; Fungi; Basidiomycota; Agaricomycetes; Agaricales; Mycenaceae.
GCUUCGAUGGUGUAGCUGGUUAUCACUUCUGUCUCACAUUCACGGUGUCCACAGGCGGUCCUCAGUUCGAACCUGGGUCGAAGCA